CUACAUUCAGGGCACUGACAGGCCUUCUUCUCUUUGCACUCGUCAAUAUCUUCGCAGCUUUUGACACCGUCGCCUUUAAACCCUGGAGGACAUGAGCAUUUGACAUUGCCAUCGUCCGUACAAGCAGAGAAUGUAUGUCCAUUCCGGGUCUCAUGCCAACAUCCUCCAUUAUUAAUUUUGCACCUCGCAGGCCCACUCGCUGCACAAGUGGUGUAACCAUCUCCUUUGAACUGCACACCAUCAACAAGUGGGCAUUCACAUACCCUCCCACGAAAAG
Molecule: unclassified non-coding RNA, 277 nt
Filed under: Hevea brasiliensis (rubber tree)
Lineage: Eukaryota; Viridiplantae; Streptophyta; Magnoliopsida; Malpighiales; Euphorbiaceae
Source: RNAcentral